RNAcentral lists this ribosomal RNA (216 nucleotides) under Glomeromycotina sp. Its description in RNAcentral is "partial small subunit ribosomal RNA". The stretch from base 40 to 216 matches the Rfam family "Eukaryotic small subunit ribosomal RNA", at positions 686 to 864 of the family's 1831-position model. Lineage: Eukaryota; Fungi; Glomeromycota. The record is from RNAcentral.
GGGUCAGUAGGUUGGUCGUGCCACCGGUACGUACUGGUCUCAAUGAUUCCUCCUUCCUGAAGAACCGUAAUGCCAUUAAUUUGGUGUUGCGGGGAAACAGGACUGUUACUUUGAAAAAAUUAGAGUGUUUAAAGCAAGCUAACGCUUGAAUACAUUAGCAUGGAAUAAUGAAAUAGGACGAUCGAUCCUAUUUUGUUGGUUUCUAGGAUUGACGUA